CAGCCGCCGCGGUAAUGCCAAGGGGGCUAGCGUUGCUCGGAAUGACUGGGCGUAAAGGGCGCGUAGGCGGAUUGUUUAGUUAGGCGUGAAAUUCCUGGGCUUAACCUGGGGACUGCGCUUAAUACAGGCAGUCUAGAGUGAGGAAGAGGGUUGUGGAAUUCCCAGUGUAGAGGUGAAAUUCGUAGAUAUUGGGAAGAACACCGGUGGCGAAGGCGGCAACCUGGUCCUUGACUGACGCUGAGGCGCGAAAGCGUGGGGAGCAAACAGGAUUAGAUACCCGUGUAGUCCCUGUCUCUUAUAC
RNAcentral lists this ribosomal RNA (301 nucleotides) under uncultured bacterium. RNAcentral's name for it is "partial 16S ribosomal RNA". It matches the Rfam family "Bacterial small subunit ribosomal RNA", at positions 509 to 807 of the family's 1533-position model. The record is from RNAcentral.